UGGGGAAUUUUGGACAAUGGGCGCAAGCCUGAUCCAGCCAUGCCGCGUGCGGGAAGAAGGCCUUCGGGUUGUAAACCGCUUUUGUCAGGGAAGAAAUCUUCUGAGUUAAUACCUCGGGAGGAUGACGGUACCUGAAGAAUAAGCACCGGCUAACUACGUGCCAGCAGCCGCGGUAAUACGUAGGGUGCAAGCGUUAAUCGGAAUUACUGGGCGUAAAGCGUGCGCAGGCGGUUUUGUAAGACAGAGGUGAAAUCCCCGGGCUCAACCUGGGAACUGCCUUUGUGACUGCAAGGCUUGAGUGCGGCAGAGGGGGAUGGAAUUCCGCGUGUAGCAGUGAAAUGCGUAGAUAUGCGGAGGAACACCGAUGGCGAAGGCAAUCCCCUGGGCCUGCACUGACGCUCAUGCACGAAAGCGUGGGGAGCAAACAGGAUUAGAUACCCUGGUAGUCCACGCCCUAAACGAUGUCAACUGGUUGUUGGGAAGGUUCCUUCUCAGUAACGUAGCUAACGCGUGAAGUUGACCGCCUGGGGAGUACGGCCGCAAGGUUGAAACUUAAAUGAAUUGACGAGGUCAUAGC
This 577-nucleotide ribosomal RNA is filed under the name uncultured bacterium. Its description in RNAcentral is "partial 16S ribosomal RNA". It matches the Rfam family "Bacterial small subunit ribosomal RNA", at positions 355 to 926 of the family's 1533-position model. The record is from RNAcentral.